CUUUUUCAAAAAGAUAUGUCUUAUAUAUAAAACGAGAGUAUUUUUUAACACAGUGAAACGUCAUUUGAUAUUCGUUUUAUAAAAGAAAACGGAGCCACACGAUGAGAGUUACUGCUGACAAGAUUUCCCCGCACCACGAUCUGUACGUAAUAAUAAUCGCUGUAAGAUUCAAGGGAUAUGCAUUGCGUUGCGCGGUGCGUACUAAAGUCUGGACUUGUCCGGUGAACAGUAGAUGCGCGUAGUUCUCCUGAAGAAGAGUCUUUUCUCUCUCUCUCUCUCCCCCACAUUGGUGAGAUAGCUCGCGGUUACGACUCUCUGUUGCAGCACUUUCGUCAAAUCUCACCGUUUCAGUAGUUCUGCGAUAAUAACUAUAUAACAUCAUAUACUAAAUUUAACGUACGAUGACAUUCUGUAAAUAUGAAUUAUAGGAUGAGGCUGCAGUGACAGUGAACUUAACACGACGAACUUCUAAUGCGUGUUUAAUAAGUGACACAUACGUGGAGUGUUUUGGUUUAGUGAAAUUGAGAUUUCAGUGUUCCUUUUCUUAAUAAACAGAAGUUACUGAAACAUCUGUACGAGUCUACUGAGGCUAAAAGAAUAUCUACAUGGUGUCGUAGGAUGACUGAUCCAAAAAUCAAAAUGCAUUACACACCACCGAGCUCGGACACCAUUCAAACAAAGCCUUUUCCUAUUCGUGGCGAACGAGCGAAUUGUGUAAACAAGCCGCAUGUGAUUGCUAUGGUAGGGUUGCCUGCCCGUGGUAAAACGUACAUCUCAAAGAAGCUGUGUAGAUAUCUCAAUUGGAUUGGUAUAAAUACAAAGGUGUUCAACUUGGGAGAAUACAGGCGACAUGCAACCACUGCUUAUCAAUGCCACGAAUUUUUCCGUCCUGAUAAUAUUAAAGCAAUGGCAAUACGUACCCAGUGCGCGAUGGACGCCCUUAAGGACGUCUGCCAAUGGUUGGAGAGCGGGGACGGCGAAGUGGCUGUGUUCGAUGCCACCAACUCAACCAUCGAGAGACGACAUCUAAUCAGGGACAUCGUGGUCGAGAAAAUGGGCUUCAAGCUCUUCUUUGUCGAAUCUGUUUGCAACGAUCCUGAGAUCGUUGAACAGAAUAUUAUGGAAGUAAAAGUGAGUAGUCCAGAUUAUACGAAUAUGAACAAGGAAGAAGUACUGGCUGAUUUCAUGCUGAGAAUCGAACACUAUCGAGAAAAGUAUCAGCCAUUGGACGAGAAUCAAGAAAGCGAUUUAUCCUUUAUGAAAAUUUAUAACACUGGCGAGAAAGUGCUGGUCCAUAAACACGAGGGUCACAUACAAAGUAGGAUAGUUUAUUACCUUAUGAACAUCCAUAUAGUGCCACGUACAAUCUAUUUAACUAGGCACGGCGAGAGCGUGAUGAACCUCGAAGGUAAGAUAGGCGGAGACUCGGAGUUGAGCGUUAGGGGUUGGGAAUAUGCCAAAGCAUUGGCUAACUACAUUACUGGUCAGGAUAUUCAGGGUUUGCGAGUGUGGACUAGCUGGCUGAAGAGGACCAUUCAAACGGCAAGUGACGUGAAUGUGCCCCAAGAAAGAUGGAAAGCGUUAAAUGAGAUCGACGCGGGUAUUUGUGAAGAAAUGACUUAUGAAGAAAUCGCAGAAAAGUAUCCGACAGACUUUGCCGCGAGAGAUCAAAAUAAAUUCUCAUAUCGUUAUCCGAGAGGGGAAAGUUACGAAGAUCUGGUCGCGCGAUUGGAACCAGUGAUAAUGGAAUUAGAACGACAGGGUAAUGUUUUGGUUGUUAGCCACCAAGCAGUUUUGCGAUGUCUAUUUGCUUACUUCCUAGACAAAAGUGCGGAUGAAUUACCAUAUUUACAAGUGCCACUACAUACUAUUAUUAAAUUAACGCCAGUUGCCUAUGGCUGUAAAGUGGAACAUAUUCGAUUACCAAUUGACGCAGUGAACACUCAUCGACCAAAACCAAAGAAUGCCUGACCAUUAGUGGAUUGGGACUACUUCCUCGUAUCUAAUCUUGAUUUAAUGUGUCCUAAAUGUCAUCCAAUUCUAAGCUUUGUAUAUUAAACAAUCCCGGGAUAUCUAGAGGAACAAUUCCGAAGGAAAGAAAAAUUGCCUCACACCUGAUAACGACAACAUUGUAGCACGACAGAGCUAAUUCUAAUCGUCGUUACGAGGUGCUGAAGACGCAUUCUUUUGGCAGCUGGCUGCCUUUAUACGUCCGAUGCAACGUGCAUCCAUUAACUCUUUAUUUUAAUCAAAUAUACACGAAAUAUGUCUGAUAUCAUCCGACAUUAUUUCUAUACAAAUUACGUGAUCAAAGGGUUCCUUUCUGUUCUGUCGAUUUUCUAAUACGUGCCGUAUGCUAGUGUAGCGUUAAAAUGUGACAAAUUUUGACUUGUGACAAAAUACAGAUGUUUGACUGUAAUCGAAAUCACGGAGAGAAUCCUAUGAAACUUAAAUGCAUAUGUAACCACAUACGUAAAUUUGUUCCGAUACUAAGUUUCCUGAUAUCUAAAAUCCUAUAUCUAUAUUUUGAGUAUUAUAUUUAAAAAAUGGUAUCGCAUUAAACAUGUUUAACUUCUCGAUUUGUUAUAUAUUUCGUGUUGUUUGUAAAUCGUCGAUAGGAAAGAAAAAAAAAAAUCAAUCCCCGCAGGUAUUUCUAACAUACAUAGUGGUUAUAUAAUGACGUUUAUGUAUUUUAUAGAAAUGUUUUAUUGAUACUAACAUAUUCUGGCAAUUAUAAACUUAUCAAGUUGCGUAUAUUAUCGAUUAGAAAACAGCUGUCUUUAAUCUUCUACGGAAACUAUCGUGCCGAGCGAGAAUCAUGUUAUAUUUCAAAAAUUUAUCUCAUAUGAUAAUCUAGUUACUAGUAUUAGGGAAUAGAUUCCAAAAUAUUUUUGUCAAGAAGAUUAUACUGUGUGGAAAAUCGAGAACUUUUCGAAGUGUAAUUUAUUUUAAGAGAAGUGUACAUAUUUUUUUAAUACCCUUCACGAUGAGAAAAAAUACAUUUACUUGAAAACAA
RNA transcript from Bombus pascuorum, 3016 nucleotides. It is a transcript of the gene named 6-phosphofructo-2-kinase/fructose-2,6-bisphosphatase, with no coding region annotated. The record is from RefSeq and is a predicted model, not a curated record. The transcript has 8 exons. NCBI's taxonomy places the organism in Eukaryota, Metazoa, Arthropoda, Insecta, Hymenoptera, Apidae.